Molecule: long non-coding RNA, 2060 nt
Filed under: Homo sapiens (human)
Lineage: Eukaryota; Metazoa; Chordata; Mammalia; Primates; Hominidae
Description: long non-coding RNA NONHSAT198896.1
Source: RNAcentral
GCAAAUGUAAAGAAGGAUACCAGGGUGAUGGACUGACUUGUGUGUAUAUCCCAAAAGUUAUGAUUGAACCUUCAGGUCCAAUUCAUGUACCAAAGGGAAAUGGUACCAUUUUAAAGGGUGACACAGGAAAUAAUAAUUGGAUUCCUGAUGUUGGAAGUACUUGGUGGCCUCCGAAGACACCAUAUAUUCCUCCUAUCAUUACCAACAGGCCUACUUCUAAGCCAACAACAAGACCUACACCAAAGCCAACACCAAUUCCUACUCCACCACCACCACCACCCCUGCCAACAGAGCUCAGAACACCUCUACCACCUACAACCCCAGAAAGGCCAACCACCGGACUGACAACUAUAGCACCAGCUGCCAGUACACCUCCAGGAGGGAUUACAGUUGACAACAGGGUACAGACAGACCCUCAGAAACCCAGAGGAGAUGUGUGUUCUGGUACACAGUUGUAAUUUUGACCAUGGACUUUGUGGAUGGAUCAGGGAGAAAGACAAUGACUUGCACUGGGAACCAAUCAGGGACCCAGCAGGUGUUUGUGAGAAAACACGGUGCCCACGGAGCAGCCCUGUGGGGAAGAAAUGGUGGCCAUGGCUGGAGGCAAACACAGAUCACCUUGCGAGGGGCUGACAUCAAGAGCGUCGUCUUCAAAGGUGAAAAAAGGCGUGGUCACACUGGGGAGAUUGGAUUAGAUGAUGUGAGCUUGAAAAAAGGCCACUGCUCUGAAGAACGCUAACAACUCCAGAACUAACAAUGAACUCCUAUGUUGCUCUAUCCUCUUUUUCCAAUUCUCAUCUUCUCUCCUCUUCUCCCUUUUAUCAGGCCUAGGAGAAGAGUGGGUCAGUGGGUCAGAAGGAAGUCUAUUUGGUGACCCAGGUUUUUCUGGCCUGCUUUUGUGCAAUCCCAAUGAACAGUGAUACCCUCCUUGAAAUACAGGGGCAUCGCAGACACAUCAAAGCCAUCUGUGGGUGUUGCCUUCCAUCCUGUGUCUCUUUCAGGAAGGCAUUCAGCAUGCGUGAGCCAUACCAUCCUCCAUCCUGAUUACAAGGUGCUCCUUGUAGCAAAUUAUGAGAGUGAGUUACGGGAGCAGUUUUUAAAAGAAAUCUUUGCAGAUGGCUAUGAUGUUAUGUGUUCGGUGUUGUACCAUGAGUAGUAUUGACUUCCCUUGAGAUAUGAUGUACAAUGUGCUUGUGAAAUUGACUUACCCUCUUCACUUAAGUUAGUUCUGGCCUGACCUGAACUCUGACUUUUACUGCCAUUCACUUUAUAAAAUAAGGGUGUGUAACAUAUCAAGAUACAUUUAUUUUUAUCUGUUUUUUUUUUCCUGUUAAAGACAAUUAUGUAGAGUGGGCACGUAAUCCCUCCUUAGUAGUAUUGUGUUUUGUGUAAAUGUGCUAUUGAUAUUAAGUAUUUACAUGUUCCAAAUAUUUACAGACUCUAGUUGCAAGGUAAAGGGCAGCUUGUGAUCUCAAAAAAAUACAUGGUGAAAUGUCAUCCAGUUCCAUGACCUUAUAUUGGCAGCAGUAGGAAAUUGGCAGAAGUGUUGGGUUGUGGUAACGGAGUGAUGAAUUUUUUUUUAAUGGCCUUGAGUUUGAUCUCUGCAAAGGAUAGGAAACCUUUAGGAAGACAAGAAACUGCAGUUAAUUUAGAACUGUCACUGUUUCAAGUUACACUUUAAAACCACAGCUUUUACCAUCAUAACAUGGCUCUGGUAAUAUGUAGGAAGCUUUAUAAAAGUUUUGGUUGAUUCAGAAAAAGGAUCCUGUUGCAGAGUGAGAGGAAGCAUAGGGGGAAACUCCAUUGGAACAGAUUUUCACACAACGUUUUAAAUUGAUAUAAGUUUAGGCAGUUGUAGUUCAUAACUUAUGUUGCUCAUGUUGUGCUGUGUCAGGAUGGGAUAGGAAGCAAGUCCCAUGCUUAGAGGCAUGGGAUGUGUUGGAACGGGAUUUACACACACUGGAGGAGCAGGGCAAGUUGGAAUUCUAAGAUCCAUGAACCCCCAACUGUAUUUCCUCCCUGCAUAUUUUACCAAUAUAUUAAAAAACAAUGUAACUUUU